RNAcentral lists this long non-coding RNA (4055 nucleotides) under Gallus gallus (chicken). Its description in RNAcentral is "lncRNA (ENSGALG00010000966.1)". Lineage: Eukaryota; Metazoa; Chordata; Aves; Galliformes; Phasianidae. The record is from RNAcentral.
GUUUCUCUUCAUGCUUGGUUUCCUACAGAGCUUUCUGGACAUGGGCACAGGCCUUCUGUUAGCUCCUAUGACUGCUGUGCAAGGUGAUUGCAUGGGGGAACAGAUUACCCAGAGCAGAUGUGGAUUCUACAGCCCAGUUUUUUCAAAAUCCUGAGAAACCUGAUCUGAAUUCAACGUUAACCCUGCUUUGUGGACAAGACUGGGUGAAAUGACCUCCUGAGGUUCCUUCCAACCUAAAGAUCUUCAUAGCAGAUUUUACAUCCCAGUGAUUUGAGAAGUUGCAUUCAAAACAAGGGACAUACGCUCCUCCCAGAACAGAAUUUUUGUCUAUGGUGUUUUAAGAAAAAACAACCAGUUGCUCCAUCUGUCAGUAAACCUCUUCCAAGAAGAAGGAAAUAUCAACACAACACAAAAUGUGAUUGCCCUUUGAAAGCAAAAAAUACCAGGCAGUGUAACCUUUAGAUGCAGCACAUAAUGGGAGACAAUCAUCUGACAAAAAACAGAAGAGAGUUUGCAACUCUGACAUUUAUUUCCCCGUGAUUUAAAAGAAUGCACUGCUCAGCAUACACAGCUGCAGCCCUGCUUGUCCUGCUUUGUAACAGCCUUGCCCUGCUGGAACCACCUGAUGAUAGCAAAUUUCAGUCCUCUGGGUCACCUGCUCUACUGGGAUGGAGAAGCUAUCCGUAUUUUUGCAUGUAACACCAUCAGAGGUCCCUGACAUUUAAAUACAGACAACUCAUGAGGAUCCAGCCUUGGAGGAUGACCUUGUUGAACGCAGGUGGGAAUGGUGAGGACUUGCACCACUCCAAUGCUUUACUGAGUUUCAGUGGGAAAGUGGGAAGAAACAGUGAUGGGACUCUCAGUAAGGCCACAUAUGCAAGGUGCAGUCGAGACACCAGGUUGGGUUCUUUAGAACUGGCUCAGGAAAGGGAGCUUGCUGGCAUGCACUGUGCUCCCGCUGGUGUGCUCUAGAAAGUAUCUGGCCAUCAGGAGAGUUUCUCCUGAGCAGCAGAUGAUGUGAUGGAAAAAAAUAACAACUAAUGUUUUCAAUGGAGUGAAAAAGGCAAAGUGUGGUGGCAAUAAAAUAAAACCUUUGAACUCUGUAAUCGUGAAGCAAGCUACAUUUUUCACCGUGAGCAAAGAGCACGGCUCAAGGUUCACUUUGAAGCUAACUUCUCCCUUCUUUUCUUUUUUUUUCCCUUCCUUCCUUUUAACCUAGCUUAAACUUCAGGCUCACAGUAUCUGACAGUGUUUUUCUAAAUAAUGAAAGAGAGCCAUGCUAUCCAAGGCACUCCUGACGGGCAGUGUGAAGACAGACCUUCCUUCACACUGUGGCUUUUCUACCUAAACAGAUGGAAGUUCCCCUCCCUCCUGCUGCUUUCCAGCACUCCUUACAUCCUGCCCCCACAGGGAGCAGCUGAAUCCUGGCUUUUUACCAAGCUGGCCAAGGGCCGGAGGUGCUGUGCUGCCCUUCCUCUUCCAACCAUGGUGCCUGACUGCUUGUGCAGGCUGCCAGCCCUACAUCCCAGGUCUGUUUUGCUGCGAGGAGGGAUUGAGAAUCAAUGGCAGCAAGGAACAGAAUGGCAGCAAAACAGGGGGCAAAAGAAGAGGAUCCAUACUGGAAGGGAGGUGGGAUGGAACUGGGACUUGUUCCUGGGAAGAUUCUUUUCUUCCUUAGAUCAGACAGCAUCUGCUUCUUUAUUUUCUCUACCCUCAGCGUGAUGCUUCUGGUUUACAUGAGGUUCUCCUCAUUUAUUUGGGCUGUGGUAGCACAUAGAGGCUGAGCCUGGGGAUGGGAUGCUUCUGUGCAAGGUGCCUCCUCACCCUACCCCCAGUACUAGCCCUGAGCAUGAGUUUGUUAUAAUUGUGGCACAUCCAGUGAUGGCUUUGCCUAAAAUUGCUCAUCUUGCUCGCUCAGCACAUCUGCACUUUGACAUAGUUUUAAUUACUGAUACAAUUGGUGGCUUUAUUUCAAACGUGGGUAAUUUCAUUACCAGUUUUUAUACACCUUUUUAGUUCUUUGCCCAUGAGUUUCUCAAAGCAAAAUCAAAUGAAUCACUGACAUCAUCACUGUUCUUUCCUGAAAAUGGUUAUAAGGGAUGUGGCUUAAAACCUCCGGAGAUAUCAAGUAUGAUUUCAAUAGAUGUUUUUCUUAGAACAUACUGUACUACAACAUUAUCCACCUAUCACAUAACAGCCAUAACAAUCUUCCAAAAAAUAUAUAUUUUUAAGUAUGUACCCAUUUUUUCCAAUGCUAAAUUGUUAGGGCCCAAAAUAUUCAUCGCUCUGGGUGCAAAAAUUCAGAUAUACAUUUUUUUCCCCACUGGCAGUGGGCUUCUCAUACCGAGUGCUCAUCUUUCAUUCUUAAAACAUUGAUUUCUUUUUGAGCAACUGAAAACCACGUAGAUCUCCUAUGUAAAAAGGAAAAGACUAAAGCUGUUGUUGCAAUGGAUGGAGACAGAACGGGAGACCUUCUGAUGUGCACAGGCACAUCUUAGCACAGCACCACGCCAAACAAGUUAAUGGGCAACGUAUACAGUUCAUCCUAUGUCCAUAGUUGCUUUGAUAGCAUUUUGUGGAUAAGUGGAUUCUUAUAUUUUCUAUAAAUGGAUUCUUAUAUUUUCUAUAGAAGCAUUUUCUUGACAUAGCAAAAUUUCAUAGGUAAGUGAUGCUCCGUAAACACAUUUUACAUUGGCAUCUUACAGAGAAGCAGUGUUACAACUAAGGCAGCGGCCUUGACUCACGGGGUUAUGUGAGUGCAGUGGAAAAAAAGUUUGAAUCGUGGAAUGACAGAACAGUUUGGGUUGGAAGGGACCUCAAAGCCCUCCCAGCUCCAACCCCGUGCCAUGGGCAGGGCUGCCCCCCACCAGCUCAGCUGCCCAGGGCUGCAUCCAACCUGGCUUUGAGCACCUCCAGGGAUGGGGCACCACAGCUUCUCUGGGCAGCUGUGCCAGGGCCUCACCGUCCUGUGAGUAAAGAAUUCCCCCCCUUUAGAACUUUUGAUUUUUUUUUUUUUAAUUAUUAUUCCCAACAAACAAUCAGUGGGAAUGCUGCAAAUUCCCGAGCUUCGUUUCUAAUGGUAAUCACCAACUUUCCUUAACAUUUCUCCUUGAAGAAGUUUCUUUUGCACGCAGCCAAAGUGACGCUCUCCCCGGAGCUGGGUGCUCGGGGCCAUUUGGCUCCACAGCGUGCUGGCACGCAGUGAAGUUUUGAUUCCGGCUGUUUUAAUUAAAGCCUAUUUCCAUAGGAUUACUCCAGCGUGGAUCAGCUCCACGGUUCUGUUUGUUUUAAUAAACUCUCAGAGCUCUCCUCCUUCUAGAGAGAGAUUGUGCUGCAAACAAGGCAGCCCUGCGGUUCGUAGCAGAAACAUGGAAAUGCUGCCGUAAAAGAUGAAAAAAAAAAAGAAAAAAAAAAAAAGCUUUGAUGGAAUUCAUUACAAUCUAUGGACGAACAGAAACAACCUACAGCUCUAAGGCAGAUGGGCCGGCACAGGUGGGCAUGCAGCGGAGCGGGACGCCGGUACGUACCUGCAGGCAGCGCGGUGCCACGUCUCCCGGCCCGCUCGCUCCGCGGGACCUUUAUAGCGCUUUCCGGGGGCUAAAAAUAAACUUUAGGGGACGGCUAAGAGCUCGGGAGGGGGCGGCCGCGGGCUCUUACAGCGAUGCUCGAGCCACGCUCCGGCUCGGGGCCGGAGCUGCGCGGCUUCUGGGCGGUGUCGGCUGUCCUCCGCCCCCCGGGCCAUCCCCCACCUGCCGCGCCCGCGGCCCCGCGUGGCUGCCCCUCGCCCUCCUCCUCCUCCCUCCGUCUCGCAACCCGCCGGGAUUGGCUGCGCUUGUGCUGGGGCGGCCCGGCUGUGGUAGGGAGGAGAAGCCCCAAGGCAUGCUUUUUUAGGCUGCGGUAAGUAAAAAUUAAUAAAUAAAUAAAUAAAUAGAAGAAAAGAGAAAAAAAAAAAAAAAAAAAGAAAAAACCAAGUAUCCAAAGCCUAAGCACGCACAUUCGGAGCUGCUCAACCAGUUGCAACUUCCCCGCCGGCCCGAAGGGGGGAGGGACGGGCA